This is a non-coding RNA of Odocoileus virginianus texanus, 1794 nucleotides long. The record is from RefSeq and is a predicted model, not a curated record. NCBI's taxonomy places the organism in Eukaryota, Metazoa, Chordata, Mammalia, Artiodactyla, Cervidae.
UCUACCUUAUAAUCAAUAUUCCAGAGUUUUGAUCACAUAGUGAAAACCCAUCACAGGAAAAAUUGUGUCAUUCUUUCUUUUGAUAUUUUUCUGUUCACAUGCCAAACACUGCUGUGAAGUCUUCCCAAGGGAAUUCUGUUUCAGCUCCAAAAAGUUGUUAACAUAAGGCUGAGCCUGUACUGUGACCUUAUUAUGACAGCUUGUUCAAAACUACAAAAGAUAAAGGAUAUGAAAAAGUUUAGAAACUGUGUCUGUUACAUGCACACAUGUUCUCCACAAUAUGUUAACUUUGGAAAUGGUGGAGGAUAUAGUCCUAGAGGAAAAACAAAAGCAGUGAACCACUUCUGAUUCUUCUCAGCCAUUUCAAUAAUCAGCAGCUCCCCAGAGUCCAAAAUAAAUUUGUUAAAAUGCAGGGAUGAUAAUUAUUCAGGUAGGAUUUCAUAGAGACUCUUCAGAUGAAUCCUUUAAACAUAUUUAACCACUUGAUUCAAAUUAUUCAAUGUCUCAGAUUAUCUAAGUGUUAGUAUGGAAUUCUCUCCACCUAGGAAGAUGAAACAUCUCCUGUGUGACUCCAUCUUCUGCUGUGGCUUGCAGAAUUCAAUGGUGGGCAUAGAAUAUGUAUGUACUGUAAUAUUAAAAUAAGAAGAUAGACCCAUAAUAAUAUGAAACCUUUAUAAUGUUUUAUAUUAAAAUUAUAUAAAUGUUAUUUAAAGUGGUGAAAAGUAAGAAACAAUCCAAAUACCCAACAAUGGAAAAUUAUGAUGUAAACUAUGGCAUAUUCAUUUCAGGAAAUGUUAACAGUUGCUAGAAAUGACAUUAAUAAAAGUUUAUAAUACCACAAGGAUACAUUUAUAAUAUAAUAAAAAAGCAAGCCUGAAGUUGCAUAUUAUUAAGGUCACAGCUUUAUAAAUAAAAGGUAUAUAAGAAAAGCAGAGAUUGAUUUCCUGAUCACAUUUUCCUUUUAAGUUUUUCAGGUGCUUCAUUUCAGCUCAAAUGUAACCACUUGCUAAAAGUAACACAUUCUCCAGGUCUAAAGAUCCUGCUCUGAUUUAGUGUAUCCCUUCUUGACUCCAGAGUAGGUUUAUGGGGUCUUAGAUAUUUUGAUUAAAAGAUUUCAUUUGUGAGCUAGAAUAUUACUUCUUUUGUAUCAGCUUCAAUCCUCUUUAACAGCAGUUUUGCCAAUAUUUCCUUGUUUAAAAAUAAAACCAAAUGAUAACAAAAAGAAAAAAAUUUUAGAUGUAAUGCAGAUAUUUUUAGUUUUUCUAAUUUUCCAGUGUUCCCAGGUGUUCUUUAAUGAGUAUGCAUUUUUAUCAUACAACUUAUAAAAUAUUUAUGAAACCAUACUUGAGGAGCAGCUUGUCAAAAUACAUUUAUGAUGAAGAUGUCUAUGUCUACAAUCAAACAAUUUCAUUCCUAGCCUCUGACUUCCAGGAACAUGGCUCAUUUGGAUGAAAAAAAAGAAAAAAAAAUGACAUACCAACCUACUAAUGUUAUGUUUUGGAAUAUCCCCGAUGGAGAUUGUCACGUAUGAAGAUUUAACUCCUCAAAGUUAGCCUCCCAGGAGUCAACUGAAAGCAGCAAGUUUAUUUAUGCCGGCUCCUUCUAUGUACCAGGCUUUGUCAAAGACCAGUUGAAUCAAGUAAAAUAAUUUCUUAAUAAUUAAAGAACACCAUAAAUUAUAAAAAGCACUAUUUGCUUAAAAACUUUUUAGGUAAUUUAUACUUAAUAAAAGUCACACAAUUUCAAAACUGUUAAAACAUCUGUUUCAAAUACAGGAAGAUUUCAGUUCCCAGA